This 403-nucleotide ribosomal RNA is filed under the name uncultured bacterium. RNAcentral describes it as "partial 16S ribosomal RNA". It matches the Rfam family "Bacterial small subunit ribosomal RNA", at positions 29 to 526 of the family's 1533-position model. The record is from RNAcentral.
AUUGAACGCUGGCGGCAGGCCUAACACAUGCAAGUCGAGCGAGCGGCGGACGGGUGAGUACUGUAUGGGGACUGCCCGAUAGAGGGGGAUAACUACUGGAAACGGUAGCUAAUACCGCAUACUGUCGGAUAACCCAUAUGGGAUUAGCUAGUAGGUACGGUAAUGGCUUACCUAGGCGACGAUCCCUAGCUGGUCUGAGAGGAUGAUCAGCCAAAAUGGGAAUGGGACACGGCCCAGACUCCAAGGGGGGGAGCAGGGGGGAAGAUUGGAAAAUGGGCGAAAAGCGGAUGCAGGCAUGGCGCGGGUAUGAAGAAGGCCCUAGGGGUGUAAAGUAAUUUCAGUCGGGAGGCGUUAACGGCAGAAGAAGCACCGGCUAAAUCCGGGCCAGGAGGCGCGGUAAUAC